Molecule: ribosomal RNA, 404 nt
Filed under: Actinomycetes bacterium
Lineage: Bacteria; Bacillati; Actinomycetota; Actinomycetes
Description: Actinobacteria bacterium partial 16S ribosomal RNA
Rfam family: Bacterial small subunit ribosomal RNA
Source: RNAcentral
UGGGGAAUAUUGGACAAUGGGCGCAAGCCUGAUCCAGCCAUGCCGCGUGAGUGAUGAAGGCCCUAGGGUUGUAAAGCUCUUUCACCGGUGAAGAUAAUGACGGUAACCGGAGAAGAAGCCCCGGCUAACUUCGUGCCAGCAGCCGCGGUAAUACGAAGGGGGCUAGCGUUGUUCGGAUUUACUGGGCGUAAAGCGCACGUAGGCGGACUAUUAAGUCAGGGGUGAAAUCCCGGGGCUCAACCCCGGAACUGCCUUUGAUACUGGUAGUCUUGAGUUCGAGGGAUGUGAGUGGAAUUCCGAGUGUAGAGGUGAAAUUCGUAGAUAUUCGGAGGAACACCAGUGGCGAAGGCGGCUCACUGGCUCGAUACUGACGCUGAGGUGCGAAAGCGUGGGGAGCAAACAGG